UGCCAGCCACCGCGGUAAUACGAAGGGACCUAGCGUAGUUCGGAGUUACUGGGCUUGAAGAGCUCGUAGGUGGUUAAAAAGUUGAUUGUGAAAUCCCAAGGCUCAACCUUGGAACUGCAAUCAAAACUUUUUAGCUAGAGUGUGAUAGAGGUAAGUGGAAUUUCUAGUGUAGAGGUGAAAUUCGUAGAUAUUAGAAAGAACACCAAAUGCGAAGGCAACUUACUGGGUCACUACUGACACUGAGGAGCGAAAGCUAGGGGAGCAAACAGGAUUAGAUA
RNAcentral lists this ribosomal RNA (278 nucleotides) under uncultured bacterium. RNAcentral describes it as "partial 16S ribosomal RNA". It matches the Rfam family "Bacterial small subunit ribosomal RNA", at positions 506 to 784 of the family's 1533-position model. The record is from RNAcentral.